UCUGCCUUAUCGGCAAGCGGUCUGAUUAGAGUGCCCAACUUAAUGCUGGCAACUAACCACAGGGGUUGCGCUCGUUGCGGGACUUAACCCAACAUCUCACGACACGAGUUGACGACAGCCAUGCAGCACCUGUGACUGUUCCACCCUUGCGGGCGUGGCUCCUGUUUCCAGGAGUUAAUCCAGUCAUGUCAAACCCAGGUAAGGUUCUUCGCGUUGCCUCGAAUUAAGCAACAUGCUCCACCGCUUGUGUGAGCCCCCGUCAAUUCCUUUGAGUUUCAGCCUUGCGGCCGUACUCCCCAGGCGGGGCACUUAAUGCGUUAGCGCCGGCCCUCGGGGGGUCGCUCCCCCAAGCGCCUAGUGCCCAUCGUUUACGGCGUGGACUAC
This 384-nucleotide unclassified non-coding RNA is filed under the name uncultured bacterium. RNAcentral describes it as "contains 16S-23S intergenic spacer region". The record is from RNAcentral.